RNAcentral lists this ribosomal RNA (207 nucleotides) under uncultured bacterium. Its description in RNAcentral is "partial 16S ribosomal RNA". It matches the Rfam family "Bacterial small subunit ribosomal RNA", at positions 568 to 774 of the family's 1533-position model. The record is from RNAcentral.
CAUGUAGGCGGAUUAAUAAGUUUGAAGUGAAAUCCUAUAGCUUAACUAUAGAACUGCUUCGAAAACUGUUAAUCUAGAAUGUGGGAGAGGUAGAUGGAAUUUCUGGUGUAGGGGUAAAAUCCGUAGAGAUCAGAAGGAAUACCGAUUGCGAAGGCGAUCUACUGGAACAUUAUUGACGCUGAGAUGCGAAAGCGUGGGGAGCAAACA